GAUGAACGCUGGCGGCAUGCCUAACACAUGCAAGUCGAACGGGGCACCUUUAAACAAUCCUUUCGGGAUGCGUUUAAAGAAUGCNUAGUGGCGAACGGGUGAGUAACACGUAGAUAACCUGCCCAUCACUUUGGAAUACCUAUUGGAAACGAUAGUUAAUACCAAAUAAGCUUACAUCAUGGCAUCAUGGAGUAAGAAAAGAUUUUAUCGGUGAUGGAGGGGUCUGCGUCCCAUUAGCUAGUUGGUGAGAUAACAGCUCACCAAGGCUACGAUGGGUAGCCGGGAUGAGAGUCUGAACGGCCACAUUGGGACUGAGACACGGCCCAAACUCCUACGGGAGGCAGCAGUGAGGAAUAUUGCACAAUGGGGGCAACCCUGAUGCAGCAAUGCCGCGUGAAGGAAGAAGGCCCUUGGGUUGUAAACUUCUUUAGCUCGGGAAGAAUAAUGACGGUACCGAGAGAAUAAGCCCCGGCUAAAUACGUGCCAGCAGCCGCGGUAAUACGUAUGGGGCAAGCGUUAUCCGGAUUUACUGGGUGUAAAGGGUGAGUAGCCGGCCUUACAAGUCAUAUGUGAAAUCUUUGGGCUUAACCCAAAAACUGCAUAAGAAACUGUAAGGCUAGAGUAUCGGAGAGGUUAGCGGAAUUCCUAGUGUAGCGGUGGAAUGCGUAGAUAUUAGGAGGAACACCAGUGGCGAAGGCGGCUAACUGGANNAAAACUGACGGUGAGUCACGAAAGCGUGG
RNAcentral lists this ribosomal RNA (740 nucleotides) under uncultured bacterium. RNAcentral describes it as "bacterial SSU rRNA". It matches the Rfam family "Bacterial small subunit ribosomal RNA", at positions 28 to 764 of the family's 1533-position model. The record is from RNAcentral.